This is a long non-coding RNA of Zonotrichia leucophrys gambelii, 1409 nucleotides long. RefSeq lists it as uncharacterized. Lineage: Eukaryota; Metazoa; Chordata; Aves; Passeriformes; Passerellidae. The record is from RefSeq and is a predicted model, not a curated record. The transcript is spliced from 2 exons.
AGGAGCCCCUGAGAAGGUGGGAAGGAUUGUGGAGAAUGGCCCCAGCAGAGAGCUGUCAAAAAGUUCUUUGGCAAAUCCUGCCUUCAGCCAAAUAUUCCAGGGCCUGGAGAGAGGGAAGAAGCUCGGUGACCGCCCAAUGAGGGGCUUCUUACCCCAUGGCCUGGGGGGCUCCUCUGGAGGCUCCUCUGGAGGCUUCCAGGACGAGCCCCUGCAGGAGUAUUUCACUGAGAGGCUGCUGGAGCUGGGGAGCUGCGAGGGCAGGAGGAGCAGCAGGAGAUGCAGGGGGUUUGCAGAGAGGAACCAGAGCCGGCGCUGGGCCGGGAGGGAGAGCGGCCCUGCAGCCCAGCACAGCAGCACAGGAAUGGACAGCAAGGCUCAGCAGGAGAUCCACAGCAUCCUAAAGGUCUACUCUGGCGACUUCUUGGAGCUUUUGACAGUGCCCAUCGCCGCUCCUCUGGAAGCGUUGGUGCAGGAGAAGUGAUGCUGGAGAUGGUCACAGGUUGUCGUGCAGUCCUGAAGAGUUGUUCCUGUUCUGCACCACUCUCAUUUAUAGCUCAGUCCCCUCUGAUGCAGAAAGGGGCUUGUUUUGGGAUUGCUCUUGAUUAACAUUGCAUAUAUUUGUUUUCAGUUAUUUCCUGGAAAGAAUCAGCAUGAUUGAGCCAUAGGUGCAGUACAUACAUGCAUGUAUUAGAAUACUUAAGUUGCCUUCAAAAAAGCUGAUUAGUGUCAGAGGAGUAGCUUGUUUCCUGCUGUGCACUUUGUGUUAAUUAAUCUGAGGAAAGGCUGUUGUAUUCUGCCUCUUUAUUUCGCUUUUUUAAGCCCCUUGCUUUUAUGAUGUCACUGUGGCCUGACUAAUUUAUCUUCUUACUGUGACUUAUUUCUGACACAGAUGCAAAUAGUUGAUGAGAAAUUACUGAUUUUCAGUCAUUGCCAUGAAAUCAUGAGGUGGAUCACUGCUAGAGUCUGAUGCAUGAAGAAGCAAACACAGACAUAAGAUCUACUUUUAAAUAUGAUCUGCCAUUAUGGUUUUAUUUGCAGACUCAAAACCCCUUGACUGAAAAACCACCGCAGGGGCAGAGAGGAAAAAAUGCUGGAUUUAAGUUAGAGUGAUGGAAUUAAGUAUGAAAGAAGGCUCCUUCCCUCUUUCCUUCUGUAAAUACAAGAACCACAUAGGGAAUUCCUAAUGUAAUCUGAACUUCAAAUUGUUUAUUGUAUUUUAAUGUUUAUCGUGGUCAUGUAAGUAUAAAAUGUCAGCUGCAGCUGAAUCCUUUUACUAUGGGAAAUGUCAAUGUUUAAUUCCACAGUGAAUAUCAAACCCAAACGAAGCAAUGACUUUAGGCUUCCAGAAAGAUCUAUUACUGCCUGUGGUAUCAUCAGCAAUAAAUUCCUCAUUAUAGUUGUGGUUGGAA